This 208-nucleotide long non-coding RNA is filed under the name Mytilus galloprovincialis (Mediterranean mussel). The record is from RNAcentral. Lineage: Eukaryota; Metazoa; Mollusca; Bivalvia; Mytilida; Mytilidae.
GUUUGCUAUACCACUGUUUAUUUCAACGCACUUUAUGAUAAUACUUCUGUACCAGUCGAAAAGAAAAUUUUUGUAGUGUUUUGAGAAAUAAUUUUACUUUGUAGUAAUGUAUUGUUUUGGAAACAUUUUAUGUUUUAAAAGGGAAAAUUUUCUGUUUAAAGUCAAUAACAUGUGGACUUUUGAAGCCCAAACUUUGUAUGGCCUUAAA